UUUAACCGAGGUAGCGUAUGAAUUCACAAUCGAGAUUGUCGUGACAAAGAUGGAAAACCAGCCAGCUGCAACACCAGGACAAGGAGUGUCACUGCUACUGAAGGACUGCAUAGAAGAGCUGCUGAGGUUCACACUUUCUUCCUCCAUUGACGGCACUCUUGAAAUAGACAUAGGUCUCUCCAAAGAUUACUGCACCACCCUCUUACUAGACGAUUCUUCCAAUCCCUUUCCUAAUUCCACUGAUCUUUCUGAAGGAGUUCCACCAUAUCCUUUAUACAAGUGCCUUGCAGCAUCCUUAUAUCAGGCUAUAUCUUCUGAAGCCUUGCCAAGGACAGAACACAAACUUGCAGUAAUGCAGGAAUCCUGUUCAUCGAAGCAAAUGCAAGAAGAGUGGACUAGUUUGAUCAGGAAAAAAGGUUCUCAUUUGCUAAAUGUGCUAAAAUCUGUGGACUUUGAACUCCAUGUUCAGGAGCCUUACUUCUCCCUGCUCAGAAGUGGACAGAAAACAAUUGAAGGAAGAUGUGCUGUUGGACAUUAUAAUAAAAUUGAACCAGGAGCUUUCAUCCUCUUCAACAAAUGUUUACUUCUUAAAGUUCAGGAUGUCCAUCAUUAUCAUUCAUUUUGUGAGAUGCUAGAAGCAGAGAAUCUUCAAGACCUUCUUCCUGGAGUGGAUACUAUUGAAGAAGAGUUCAAAAGCCAAGGUUUUAUAGUUGGUUCUUGAAGGUUACUAGAGAAAAUUGGAAUAUAAUGGGACCGUUUGAGGACCUCAUCUUCUCAAGAGCUUGCAAGUGGAAAGCAAUAUGUUCAAGUGAUAUGUAAGGUGUCCAAGUUUACCGUAAAUUUUACUCAAAAGAGAAAGAAAGGUCAAAUGGUGUUCUCGCUAUCUGUGUUCAGAAGCCGGUUUCUCAGC
RNA transcript from Nicotiana attenuata, 910 nucleotides. RefSeq lists it as uncharacterized. The transcript has 8 exons. Lineage: Eukaryota; Viridiplantae; Streptophyta; Magnoliopsida; Solanales; Solanaceae. The record is from RefSeq and is a predicted model, not a curated record.